Molecule: small RNA, 28 nt
Filed under: Bombyx mori (domestic silkworm)
Lineage: Eukaryota; Metazoa; Arthropoda; Insecta; Lepidoptera; Bombycidae
Description: ovarian small RNA-22893
Source: RNAcentral
UAGUAGAUACGGGGAAUCGUCGCAUAGA